UGCUUACGCGCACGCGCAUUCCUUGCUAGGGAGAAAGUGCGUGAGCCCUACCUUGGGGCGCCAGAGGCCGCCACAACGCAGGCGCAUUCAGCUAAGGACCACUCCCUCCCCCCGCACUCCUGCCUCGCCAUUUCCCCUCCCUGGCCGGCCGGCCGGCCUUCUUCGCUUUGCGCACGUACCUUUUGAGGUAACGGCCCAAAGAGGUAGAAGCGCUUUUCCCGCCCGGCCGCGGGGCGUGGCUCUGCGCGCAGCUUGAUGACGACGUUUUGGCGCGGUGGCGGAAUGGCGGCUUCCACCUCUGAAGCGGGCGACGCUAUGGGUCCCACAGUGGUUUGCUAAGAAGGCCAUUUUCAACUCUCCAUUGGAGGCUGCUAUGGCGUUCCCUCACCUGCAGCAGCCCAGCUUUCUACUGGCCAGCCUGAAAGCUGACUCUAUAAAUAAGCCCUUUGCACAGCAGUGCCAAGACUUGAUUAAAGUAAUUGAGGAUUUUCCAGCAAAGGAGCUGCACACCAUCUUCCCAUGGCUGGUAGAGAGCAUUUUCGGCAGCCUAGACGGUGUCCUCGUUGGCUGGAACCUCCGCUGCUUACAGGGGCGUGUGAAUCCUGUGGAGUACAGCAUCGUGAUGGAAUUUCUCGACACUGGUGGCCCAAUGAUGAAGUUGGUUUAUAAGCUUCAAGCUGAAGACUAUAAGUUCGACUUUCCUGUCUCCUACCUGCCUGGUCCUGUGAAGGCGUCCAUCCAGGAGUGCAUCCUCCCUGACAGUCCUCUGUACCACAACAAGGUCCAGUUCACCCCUACUGGGGGCCUUGGUCUGAACCUGGCCCUGAAUCCAUUCGAGUAUUACAUAUUCUUCUUUGCCUUGAGCCUCAUCACUCAGAAGCCACUCCCUGUGUCCCUCCACGUCCGUACUUCAGACUGUGCCUAUUUCAUCCUGGUGGACAGGUACCUGUCAUGGUUCCUGCCCACCGAAGGCAGUGUGCCCUGCCACUCUCCUCCAGCCCAGGGGGGACCAGCCCCUCACCGCCUCCCAGGACACCAACCAUGCCCUUUGCUUCCUAUGGCCUCCACCACACUAGCCUCCUGAAGCGACACAUCUCUCAUCAGACGUCUGUGAAUGCAGACCCCGCCUCCCACGAGAUCUGGAGGUCAGACACUGCUCCAGGUUUUUGUUGAAAUGUGGCUUCAUCACUAUUCGUUGGAGAUGUAUCAAAAAAUGCAGUCCCCUCAUGCCAAGGAGUCGUUCACGCCUACUGAGGAGCAUGUGUUGGUGGUGCGCCUGCUGCUGAAGCACCUGCACGCCUUUGCCAACAGCCUGAAGCCAGAGCAGGCCUCACCCUCCGCCCACUCCCACGCCACCAGCCCCCUGGAGGAGUUCAAACGGGCCGCUGUCCCGAGGUUCAUCCAGCAGAAACUCUACCUCUUCUUGGAGCAUUGCUUUGGCCACUGGCCCCUGGACGCAUCGUUCAGAGCUGUCCUGGAGAUGUGGCUGAGCUACCUGCAGCCGUGGCGGUACGCGCCUGACAAGCAGGCUUCAGGCAGCGACUCCCAGCCCCGGUGUGUGUCGGAGAAAUGGGCGCCCUUUGUCCAGGAGAACCUGCUGAUGUACACCAAGUUGGUUGUGGGCUUCCUGAACCGCGCACUCCGCACAGACCUGGUUAGCCCCAAGCAUGCGCUCCUGGUGUUCUGAGUGGCCAAAGUCUUUGCCCAGCCCAACCUGGCUGAGAUGAUUCAGAAAGGUGAGCAGCUAUUCCUGGAGCCAGAGCUGGUCAUCCCCCACCGCCAGCACCGACUCUUCACGGCCCCCACAUUCACUGGGAGCUUCCUGUCACCCUGGCCACCAGCGGUCACUGAUGCCUCCUUCAAGGUGAAGAGCCACGUCUACAGCCUGGAGGGCCAGGACUGCAAGUACACCCCAAUGUUUGGGCCCGAGGCCCGCACCCUGGUCCUGCGCCUCGCUCAGCUCAUCACAGAGGCCAAACACACAGCCAAGUCCAUCUCCGACCAGUGUGCGGAGAGCCCGGCUGGCCACUCCUUCCUCUCAUGGCUGGGCUUUAGCUCCAUGGACACCAGUGGCUCCUACACAGCCAACGACCUGGACGAGAUGGGGCAAGACAGUGUCCGGAAGACAGAUGAAUACCUGGAGAAGGCCCUGGAGUACCUGCGCCAGAUAUUCCGGCUCAGCGAAGCGCAGCUUAGGCAGUUCACACUCGCCUUGGGCAUCACCCAGGAUGAGAAUGGAAAACAGCAGCUCCCCGACUGCGUCGUGGGUGAGAACGGACUCAUCCUUACGCCCCUGGGGCGGUACCAGUUCGCAGGACAGAUGGCGGCUCUGUGUUCCCGGGAUGACUUCCUCGGCAGCUUCUGUCGCUACCACCUCACAGAACCUGGGCUGGCCAGCAGGCACCUGCUGAGUCCUGUGGGGCGGAGGCAGGUGGCCGGCCACACCCGCGGCCCCAGGCUCAGCCUGCGCUUCCUGGGCAGUUACCGGACGCUGGUCUCGCUGCUGCUGGCCUUCUUCGUGGCCUCUCUGUUCUGCGUCGGGCCCCUCCCAUGCAUGCUGCUGCUCACCCUGGGCUACGUCCUCUACGCCUCUGCCAUGAUACUGCUGACCGAGCGGGGGAAGCUGCACCAGCCCUGAAGGUGGCAGCUGCCUUCAGAGCAGGCUGGAGGGAUUUGCCACACAGCCCCACCCUUGGGCUGAGAGGACCUGGGAAGCCCCUCCAGGAGGGAACACGGUCAUCCUCAGGCUUCUGGAGCGGGGUUCCUGCAGCCGCAGAGGCAUCUGGAGGAAACACAACCAAGAAAGGAAGGCAGUUGGGCCCCAGCAAAGGAGUGGCUACCAGGGCUCAACAGCCACGCUCUGUGACAGCGCAGAGCUCAGCGCCGGCCUUUCCCUCCCUCUGCCAAGGACUCAUGGCCAAGCCAGCUCUCGGGGCCUUUUUUCCAGUGCCCAUUUGGCUACUCUGCUGCACCAAGCUUGGGAGCCAGCCUGCCAAGAGCCGCCUGGGCCUGGCCUCCCCACUGGCUGGCCUUGAGGUAGGCAGAGUGGGUUGUGGCGCCUCCUCUCUCUGUGUGGGACCAGGACGGUGGCUUAAGUCUCCACUCCAGGAAAGAAUCAAAGUUUCUAGAGUUGUGAGAAAACCAGAGAGUGGCUCUCCUGAUUCUUCACUCUGGGGUGCGUUCUUCAUGUUCUCCCAGCUGUUCCAAGACUGGGCCGUAGAAUUCCAUGUUUCAGGAGCCUAAGACCCUCCCAGAGCCCAGGUGCUUCACCGCAGACCGCAAGCCAUUGAGCACAUCACCCAAAGCAGUGGCCAACAUCGCGGACCCCUGUGCCUUGUCACAGAUGGGUGCUGGUCCUCAGGCGUUGGGGACACUGCUGGGUCGAUGGGGUCGGAUUCUGCCAGUUUCUGCUCUGCAGCCAAAGAUGGUCAGAAGCAUUGUCACUUCAGUAACAUCAAGUGCUCAAAGACAUGGCAACCGUUCAGUGGUACUUAAGUAUUCAAAAUAUACAACUACAGAUUCUCUGACAGAAACCAGCACGGGGUCUUCACCUUCAUUCACCCCACAGGCGACAUGCGAGGGAGAACAGCAUCUCAGUGGUGAUUUCCAAACCAAGCCUUUGUUUUCGGUGUGGGGUUUUGGGGGUUUGCUUUAAUGUUUUUGAAAUUGUAAAUGUUGGGCUUUGUAUUUUGAUGUAAACUGAGAAUAAUGGCAUUUUAGGGCCUGUGACCAAAAAUGAAGCUUGUAACGACCAUGGAUCUGAAUAAACAUGUCCUUGCUUCUGAGUC
Molecule: RNA transcript, 3788 nt
Organism: Homo sapiens (human)
Lineage: Eukaryota; Metazoa; Chordata; Mammalia; Primates; Hominidae
Gene: SMPD4BP
Gene name: sphingomyelin phosphodiesterase 4B, pseudogene
Exons: 18
Source: RefSeq, marked validated